CAGAUCCAACCCCAGAACGUCCCCAAACUUCCAUUAAAUUACGAAAAUGUCAAGCGACAGCGACGACGAGGAUGAGCUCCUCCAGAUGGCAUUGAAGGAGCAAGCGCAACGUGAUCUCAACUACCAGAGACCACUGUCGUCAUCUUCGGGUUGUUAAUUUCGUGCAGCCACCGAAGGCCCCAGCCACUACUCCACCCAGGCCGGGGACAAGAAUGGUACAUAAUCAGCAGCAACAGCAACAGAAGAAGAAUAGGAGAGUGGUCGAGGAGGACGAUGAUUCGGAGGUGGAAAUGCUGAGUAUAUCGAGCGGAGACGAGGAGGUGAGUAAGGAUCGAGGAGGAGCGAAAGGGAGAGCAAGCGGAGCAGGAGGAAGAGGAGAGGAGGAUAGAGGGUGGGAUGGAGAAGAACCUGAUUGCUGGAAAAGGGUUGAUGAGGCUGAGGUAUGGAUAAUUUAGUCAGUUUUCUUUCUUUUUUUAAUCUUAACUAUGUUAAUAUAUGUA
RNAcentral lists this unclassified non-coding RNA (500 nucleotides) under Hevea brasiliensis (rubber tree). Lineage: Eukaryota; Viridiplantae; Streptophyta; Magnoliopsida; Malpighiales; Euphorbiaceae. The record is from RNAcentral.